UCCAGAGUACCACGAGACACGUGAAACCUUGUGGGAAGCAGGGAGGACCACCUCCCAAGGCUAAAUACUAACUGGUGACCGAUAGUGAAGCAGUACCGUGAGGGAAAGGUGAAAAGAACCCCGGGAGGGGAGUGAAAUAGAACCUGAAACCGUGUGUCCACAACCGGUCAAAGCACUUUUACGUGCGAUGACGUGCUUUUUGUAGAACGAGCCAGCGAGUUACGAUAUGUAGCAAGGUUAAGCACUUAAGGUGCGCAGCCGAAGGGAAACCGAGUCUGAAUAGGGCAAAAAGUUGCAUGUCGUAGACCCGAAACCGGGUGACCUAUCCAUGGACAGGUUGAAGCGGAAGUAAAAUUCCGUGGAGGACCGAACCACGUUGGUGUUGAAAAACCAUGGGAUGAGCUGUGGAUAGCGGAGAAAUUCCAAUCGAACCCGGAGAUAGCUGGUUCUCCUCGAAAUAGCUUUAGGGCUAGCGUUUUGAAUGAGUAAUGGAGGUAGAGCACUGAAUGGGCUAGGGGCUGACAACAGUUACUGAACCCUAUCAAACUCCGAAUGCCAUAUACUUGAAUCAAAGCAGUCAGACUACGAAUGAUAAGAUCCGUGGUCAAAAGGGAAACAGCCCAGAUCAUCAGCUAAGGUCCCAAAGUGUAAGUUAAGUGGAAAAGGAUGUGGGAUUUCUAAGACAACUAGGAUGUUGGCUUAGAAGCAGCCACUCAUUCAAAGAGUGCGUAAUAGCUCACUAGUCGAGAGAUCCUGCGCCGAAGAUGUUCGGGGCUAAAACUUACCACCGAAGCUAUGGGCUCGAAAGAGCGGUAGAGGAGCUUCCUGUAUGGAUUGAAGUCGUACCGAAAGGAGCGGUGGACUGUACAGGAGUGAGUAUGCUGGCAUAAGUAGCGAGAAAUAAGUGAGAAUCUUAUUGGUCGAAAACCUAAGGUUUCCUGAGGAAGGCUCGUCCGCUCAGGGUUAGUCGGGACCUAAGCCGAGGCCGAAAGGCGUAGGUGAUGGACAAUCGGUUGAUAUUCCGAUACCGCCAACUGACGUUAUUACAAAUGGGAUGACGCAGGAGGAUAAGAUGUGC
Molecule: ribosomal RNA, 1078 nt
Filed under: Hafnia paralvei
Lineage: Bacteria; Pseudomonadati; Pseudomonadota; Gammaproteobacteria; Enterobacterales; Hafniaceae
Description: bacterial LSU rRNA
Rfam family: Bacterial large subunit ribosomal RNA
Source: RNAcentral